CAGCGAGAGCAGUUUGUGUGAGGAAAGACAGCUAAUGUCUUCUAUGCUGUUUGAACGCUGUAAGGAAAAGCCUCUUGCAGGAUGAGAGUUUAGUAAGGUUGUUUCUAAGCCCUUGCAUCUCAAAGCUCUGAGCCUUGAGGGAGGAUUAUGAGCAAGAAGAAGUUAUGUGCUUUCACCUAUGCCAUCUGUGAUGUUUGUAUUUCUUGGUGACCUUUUCAACAGUUUGUUGUUCUCAUUCUUCUGUCCAUAUGAGAGAGAUGGAAUUCUCCAAGGGAAGCUACUUGAACAUAUGGCAAGGAUCCUCAUCUCCCAGACCAGAGCUCCAAAGCAGAGAGCACAGCCCUGACAUUUAAAGCUUCCAGAUUUUCAAGCAUAUAAUCUGAAUUACAAAAUUUUCCUCGUCUUGUACCUGGAAUUCUUGCUAUAGCUUUAGUAUAACUUGCAGUAUUAUAAAUGUGAGUCACUCAAUAAUCUGUAAUAUUCAAGCAAUGCUUUGCUUUAAUGCUCUGCAUGUUGAAUAAAGCAGCAAGUGACUAUUGGAAAACAUUUAGCUGUGUUUCUGGUUCACUGUCUCAUUGUGACGCUGAUCAAAACGCUAUAUUAAAAAAAAAAAAAGAAAUAU
Gavialis gangeticus (Gharial) is the source of this 622-nucleotide long non-coding RNA. RefSeq lists it as uncharacterized. NCBI's taxonomy places the organism in Eukaryota, Metazoa, Chordata, Crocodylia, Gavialidae. The transcript is spliced from 3 exons. The record is from RefSeq and is a predicted model, not a curated record.